ACUCCUACGGGAGGCAGCAGUGGGGAAUCUUGGACAAUGGGCGCAAGCCUGAUCCAGCCAUGCCGCGUGAGUGAUGAAGGCCCUAGGGUCGUAAAAGCUCUUUCGCCAGGGAUGAUAAUGACAGUACCUGGUAAAGAAACCCCGGCUAACUCCGUGCCAGCAGCCGCGGUAAUACGGAGGGGGUUAGCGUUGUUCGGAAUUACUGGGGCGUAAAGCGUACGUAGGCGGAUUAGUUAGUCAGAGGUGAAAUCCCAGGGGCUCAACCCUGGAACUGCCUUUGAUACUGCUAGUCUUGAGUUCGAGAGAGGUGAGUGGAAUUCCGAGUGUAGAGGUGAAAUUCGUAGAUAUUCGGAGGAACACCAGUGGCGAAGGCGGCUCACUGGCUCGAUACUGACGCUGAGGUACGAAAGUGUGGGGG
RNAcentral lists this ribosomal RNA (418 nucleotides) under uncultured bacterium. Its description in RNAcentral is "bacterial SSU rRNA". It matches the Rfam family "Bacterial small subunit ribosomal RNA", at positions 335 to 767 of the family's 1533-position model. The record is from RNAcentral.